This 908-nucleotide long non-coding RNA is filed under the name Microcebus murinus (gray mouse lemur). RNAcentral describes it as "lncRNA (ENSMICG00000048173.1)". Lineage: Eukaryota; Metazoa; Chordata; Mammalia; Primates; Cheirogaleidae. The record is from RNAcentral.
AGUGGUCCAGCUAAUUUCUUUCUAUUUGUAGUAGAGAAAGGGUCUCACUCUUGCUCAGGCUGGUCUCAAACUCCUGAGCUCAAGCAAUCCUCCUGCCUUAGCCCCCCAGAGUGCUAGGAUUACAGGCGUAGCCACUGUGUCUGGCCAAUCCCAGGUUUUCUAUUCCCUUACCACUGUGCCAUACUAAAUACUGGGGCUACCACUCUUCUAGUAAUGAAAGUCUGUGCUAAUCUAGUCUUCCCCCCAUUGUUGCUUAACCUUUAGGCUUUGGUUUCUUGUCUGUCUAUUACAUUCUAAGUACUCCAGGGCAGGAAUCAGAUGUAAGCUUUGUAUUCUCAAAGGUAUCUCUCAAAUUUAAAUCUCAAGUCUUUGAUACUGUUGAGAAUCUUCAGUAUAAAUAUUUAUCAACAUUUGCAUUGACUCAAUGAUUUAGAUGACUAUAAAAGGCAGGUUGUUUCCUCCCCACUGAAGGCGGUGUGGAGAGGUGCACCAGUCCCAAGAGUGGCCCCUCGCUAUGGUGGAUGCUGGCUGUUUUCAUCACAGUGGGUGGCGUUCUGGACUCUGCCCUCAGACUUUCGUUCUAUCUCAGUGCCUUAGCAUUCUACUCGUUGAACAGACUGGAAGUGAAACCAUAGGCUCAUUUCUCACGAUAGGACACGAUGUGCAAGGAAGUUAAAAAAAGAGACCAAAGGAGAACAGACCUGCCUUGUUCCCUUUAAUCACAGGUUGGAAUGGAAUCGAUGUGCCAUGCAAGUCUAAUCACUAACAAAGCAUGCUGGUACCCUUCCCUGGUAAUCGUACCCUCCCCCACCCCACUGGGAACCCAUAAACUACCUUUUAAGCUCCCGUGGAAGAAGUCUGACUACGUAGACACCAUACUAAGAGGAAGACUAAGCUGAGACGCGGAC